GUGCUUUAGGGAUGAAGAAGCCCCUCAUAUUUAACUCAAAUCCAUCCAUCACUUUGUCAGCAAAUUUAUUUAUUUUAGUUUCUUGCUGAUCAUUAAUAGGUGGAAUAAUU
Small nucleolar RNA from Mercurialis annua (annual mercury), 110 nucleotides. RefSeq annotates it as small nucleolar RNA snoR99. The transcript has a single exon. Lineage: Eukaryota; Viridiplantae; Streptophyta; Magnoliopsida; Malpighiales; Euphorbiaceae. The record is from RefSeq and is a predicted model, not a curated record.